Long non-coding RNA from Artibeus jamaicensis (Jamaican fruit-eating bat), 1672 nucleotides. RefSeq lists it as uncharacterized. The record is from RefSeq and is a predicted model, not a curated record. The transcript has 3 exons. NCBI's taxonomy places the organism in Eukaryota, Metazoa, Chordata, Mammalia, Chiroptera, Phyllostomidae.
CAUCAGGCCAUGGUUUCCAUGACAAUGGCCUGAGCCCGCCUCUGCCUCCCACAUCAGGUGAUGGCUCCUGAGCAGUGAGCUGAACUCUUCCCUUCUCCUGCUAACUGCAGUUUCCAUGGCAACAGGCUGAGCCACCAUUGUCCUACACACCAGGCAUGCUGCUAAAUGCUUUCUGCUGAAUUCCCAUGACAUAUCUGCAAGGUGGGUGAGGCCACCUUUCCACUUGACAAAUGAAGUCCCCGAGGUGCACAGGAGAAGGAGUGGCCUGCUCACAUUCUAAUCAUAGAGUUCAACUCCCUGGGAUGGAAUCCCUUGACCCCUGAGCCACACAUUCCUCAUUUGGAAAAACAAGAACCUGAGUCUCAAAGCUGAUGGUAGGAUGAAAUGUACAAAGGAAUGAUGGCCACACAGCAAACUCAACAAAUACCAGCACAAAAACACUCAGUCAUCGAGAUAAAUAAUAUUUUAAUGUAACAUUGGAAAUAAGCAAUAAUGCAAAGAAAACCCAAGAUGAACAUGAUAUUAAAAUUUUGGCCCAGACCAGUGUGGCUCAGUUGGUUGGGCAUUGUUUUGCAAAACAAAAGGUCACCAGUUUGAUUCCUGGGUUGCAGGUUCUGUCCAGUCAGAAUGCCAGCAAGAGGCAACUCAUCAGUGUUUCUCUCCCUCUCUUUCUCCCUCCCUUCCCCUUCUCUGAAAAUAAAUAAAAUCUUAAAAAGAUUAUUUUUGAAGAAUGACAAAGAGUCUACAGUCCUGUGCUGAGCCAUAUUAGCACCUGAGUCAAAAGGUAAAACGGAUACUCUUCUAUCCAUGCUCUUGUCCAUUUUUAACGGUUAACUUCUUUUGAGAAAUAGGUAUUAUAAAUUAUUUUCUUUCUUUGUUUAUCUUUAGGGAGAGGAGAAAGGAGAGAGAGAGAGAGAAAGAGAGAAACAUUGAUCAGUUGGCUUUUGCAUGCACCCAAAGAGAGAACAAGUCCUGAAACCCAGGUAUGUGCCCUGACUGGGAGUAGAACCCACAAUUUGGUUUGCCAGACAAUGCUCAUCCAACUGAGCCACAUCAAUCAGGGCUGGAAAUAGAUUUUUGAAAAUAUUUUUGAUGAGUUUGCCUCCAUGAAAGUCAAGAAAGUGAAAUUAUAAUAAAUUCUGGGUUUUUUUUUCUAUCAUAUAAGUAAAAUAUUUUAACAUAAGACAAUAGUUCGAUUCCCAUUCAGGGCACUGGCCUGGAUUGUGGGUUUGGUCCCCAGUCAGAGCACAUAUAAGAGGCAACGGAUCAAUGUUUCUUUCACACAUCGACAUUUCUAUACCUGCCCUGGCUGGUGUGUAGCUCAGUGGAUUGAGCGCCAGACUGCAACCCAAAGGAUCGCUGGUUCAAUUCCCAGUCAGGACACAUGCCUGGGUUGCAGGCCAGGUCCCCAGUAGGGGACAGGGUUUCAGAUGAUCAAGGUAACAAAGUUCUGGAGAUGGAAGGUGGUGAUGGUUGUACAACAGUCUUAAUGUACUUAAUCUUACUGAACUGUGCACAUAAAAAGAGUUAAAAUGGUCAAUUUUAUGAUAUCUAUAUUUUACUACAAUUAAAAAAAAUUUUUAAGGUGCACGAGCUACUAUUGAUAGGUCCGUAGCUUUAGGAGUCUUCCGCAUCCCCCAUCCUGGUUGGUUGGACAUCAGUAGCUCUAUUU